UCAGGAUCAUUUUGCAAAUUGCAGCGCGUCAGUCCAAAGUAUUUUGUAUAAAAACGCCCUUCCUAGAAACAAGUGCAAAAUGAAGCAUCAAACAAGGAUAUUCCUGCUUCCAGGAUUGAAAAUCUUAUUGAGGGGGUGCUGAUGAUGGAGAGGCUGCAGAAUCUGGAUCAACGAGAUCAAUGAUGGACACAAUGGUGGAUCGCAGGCGUAGAAGACAGCUUGGAAUUUGAGGCAGUCACUGAUGGUGUUAGAGGAAAAGAAAGAAAGACAAAGAAAUAUAUGUGAGCGGAC
Long non-coding RNA from Mauremys reevesii (Reeves's turtle), 291 nucleotides. RefSeq lists it as uncharacterized. Lineage: Eukaryota; Metazoa; Chordata; Testudines; Geoemydidae. The transcript is spliced from 3 exons. The record is from RefSeq and is a predicted model, not a curated record.